GGCAUUCCUUAAUUUCAUACACCAACCUG
This 29-nucleotide non-coding RNA is filed under the name Mus musculus (house mouse). Lineage: Eukaryota; Metazoa; Chordata; Mammalia; Rodentia; Muridae. The record is from RNAcentral.